RNAcentral lists this ribosomal RNA (683 nucleotides) under Culicoides enderleini. RNAcentral's name for it is "eukaryotic LSU rRNA". It matches the Rfam family "Eukaryotic large subunit ribosomal RNA", at positions 44 to 629 of the family's 3401-position model. Lineage: Eukaryota; Metazoa; Arthropoda; Insecta; Diptera; Ceratopogonidae. The record is from RNAcentral.
UAAUGAGGGGAGGAAAAGAAACUAACUAGGAUCCUUAGUAGCGGCGAGCGAAACGGGAAGAGCCCAGCACGUAGACCGACAGCUGUAAUGGUUGUUUGGUGAUGCCGUGUGCAAGAGUGUCUAUUAUCUUGUGUCAAAAUAGUAUGUCCAAGUCCAUCUUGAAUGAGGCCAUGUACCCAGAGAGGGUGCUAGGCCCGUAGUGACUGCUAUUGAUAUAAGAAGGCAUCUCUUAGGAGUCGUGUUGCUUGAUAGUGCAGCACUAAGAGGGAGGUAAACUUCUUCUAAGGCUAAAUAUUACCAUGAGACCGAUAGCGAACAAGUACCGUGAGGGAAAGUUGAAAAGCACUCUGAAUAGAGAGUCAAAAAGUACGUGAAACCGUUUAAGGGUUUAAACCUGAUGAACCUAAAUAUCUGAAUGAGGAAAUUCAGCAUUAAUGUGCCAGAUGAUGGUACAUUGGUGUGCACUUUUCUUCUAGUAAGACGUUGCGAUCCAUUAGAAAAGCAAUUUAAAUCUGUAUAUAGGCCCGGAUAGGAGUUUAUACAUUAAGCGAGUAACAUGGCUUUGUUGUUAUGUGAAUGCGUGUAAACUAUCUGGUGUUCUUACAGAUGUCUGAUGGUAUAUUGACGAGUGUCACAUGCAAUUCCCUGUGAAUUGACAUUCUUUAUGGAUGUAAUGUGUACAU